AUGAAACACUGGCUGAGAAACAUCCUGAUUCUGACUCUCUGGCUAGAGUGUAAAGGACAAGACAGAGUGAUCCAGCCACCAGGAGAUGUCAUUGCUACUGAAGGACAGACAGUCACACUUGAUUGUACAUUUCAGACCAGUGGAAGUCCCACUUUGUUCUGGUACAAACAAGAAGUAAAUGAUUUCCCAAAGUUGUUAUUGCAACGUUUCAAGUCUGGAAUAGAAGCUAAUCCUGCAGAGGAAGAGAGGAUUGAUGCUACAGUCAACGGGACGUCAGUUCCUCUGAAGAUCCAGAAGCUGCAGCUGUCUGACUCUGCUGUGUACUACUGUAUUCAUUGUGCUGAGUUUUCUGCAGAUUCCUCCUUCAGUCUGAGCUUCUUGGAUGAUGAUGACUGCAGCAUCACUGUCAUUUCUAAAGCUUCCAUCAGCCUGAAUGGAAACAGACCACAGCAAGAGGAGGAGCUACACAACUGA
This is a non-coding RNA of Scomber scombrus (Atlantic mackerel), 474 nucleotides long. The record is from the annotation of a RefSeq genome assembly. NCBI's taxonomy places the organism in Eukaryota, Metazoa, Chordata, Actinopteri, Scombriformes, Scombridae.